RNAcentral lists this small RNA (115 nucleotides) under Arabidopsis thaliana (thale cress). Its description in RNAcentral is "ATSL152750". Lineage: Eukaryota; Viridiplantae; Streptophyta; Magnoliopsida; Brassicales; Brassicaceae. The record is from RNAcentral.
AUUAAAUUUAAUUAAUUAAAUUAGUAUUUGACUUUUUAAUCCUUAAAGAGAUAAAUUAAUUACUCUUUAAAAUUUUAUUUCUAAUGGCAUACCUAUGUAAUUACUUACACAAAUU